RNAcentral lists this ribosomal RNA (450 nucleotides) under uncultured bacterium. RNAcentral's name for it is "partial 16S ribosomal RNA". It matches the Rfam family "Bacterial small subunit ribosomal RNA", at positions 354 to 796 of the family's 1533-position model. The record is from RNAcentral.
GUAGGGAAUCUUCCACAAUGGACGAAAGUCUGAUGGAGCAACGCCGCGUGAGUGAAGAAGGGUUUCGGCUCGUAAAACUCUGUUGUUAAAGAAGAACAUAUCUGAGAGUAACUGUUCAGGUAUUGACGGUAUUUAACCAGAAAGCCACGGCUAACUACGUGCCAGCAGCCGCGGUAAUACGUAGGUGGCAAGCGUUGUCCGGAUUUAUUGGGCGUAAAGCGAGCGCAGGCGGUUUGUUAAGUCUGAUGUGAAAGCCUUCGGCUCAGCCGAAGAAGGGGAUCGGAAACUGGGAAACUUGGGUGCAGAAGAGGACAGUGGAACUCCAUGUGUAGCGGUGAAAUGCGUAGAUAUAUGGAAGAACACCAGUGGCGAAGGCGGCUGUCUGGUCUGUAACUGACGCUGAGGCUCGAAAGUAUGGGUAGCAAACAGGAUUAGAUACCCUAGUAGUCC